This is a ribosomal RNA of 403 nucleotides. It matches the Rfam family "Bacterial small subunit ribosomal RNA", at positions 355 to 774 of the family's 1533-position model.
UGGGGGAUAUUAGGCAAUGGGGGAAACCCUGACCUAGCGACGCCGCGUGAGGGAAGAAGGUUUUCGGAUUGUAAACCUCUGUCUUCGGGGAAGAAUAAAUGACGGUACCCGAGGAGGAAGCCACGGCUAACUACGUGCCAGCAGCCGCGGUAAUACGUAGGUGGCAAGCGUUGUCCGGAAUUACUGGGUGUAAAGGGAGCGUAGGCGGGGGAAUAAGUUGCAUGUGAAAUCGAUCGGCUCAACUGAUCGCUGCGUGCAAAACUGUUUCUCUUGAGUGGAGUAGAGGCAAGCGGAAUUCCUAGUGUAGCGGUGAAAUGCGUAGAUAUUAGGAGGAACACCAGUGGCGAAGGCGGCUUGCUGGGCUUUUACUGACGCUGAGGCUCGAAAGCAUGGGUAGCAAACA